GUCUUUUUGAAUUAAAAUUUAAAGUCGAAUCUGCCCACUGAUUUAAAAUUAAAGGGCUGCAGUAUAUUGACUGUACAAAGGUAGCAUAAUAAUUAGUCUUUUAAUUGAAGACUUGUAUGAAAGAUUUGAUGAGAUAUAAACUGUCUCUUUUUUACAAUUAGAAUUUAAUUUUUCAGUAAAAAAGCUGAAAUUAUUUUAAAAGACGAGAAGACCCUAUAGAGUUUUAUAAUUAGUUUAAUUAUAAAUUUAUAUUUAAUUUUAAAGUUAAUUAAUUUAAUUAUUUUGUUGGGGUGAUAGAAAAAUUAAAUUAACUUUUUUUUUAAAAAUAUACAUUAAUUAAUGAUUUUUUGAUCCAUAAUUUAUGAUUAAAAGAAAAAAUUACCUUAGGGAUAACAGCGUAAUUUUUUUUUUUAGUUCUUAUAAGAAAAAAAGUUUGCGACCUCGAUGUUGGAUUAAGAUAAAAUUUAAAUGUAGAAGUUUAAAAUUUUUGAUCUGUUCGAUCAUUAAAAUCUUACA
This 516-nucleotide ribosomal RNA is filed under the name Zinaida gigantea. RNAcentral's name for it is "partial 16S ribosomal RNA". The stretch from base 389 to 516 matches the Rfam family "Bacterial large subunit ribosomal RNA", at positions 2473 to 2600 of the family's 2925-position model. The record is from RNAcentral. Lineage: Eukaryota; Metazoa; Arthropoda; Insecta; Lepidoptera; Hesperiidae.